UCAGACUGCCAGGCCUGGAAAGUUCUAUGUGUCCCCAGGAUGGGUAGAAUGCAGCCAGUAGCAAUGCCAGUGUGCCCACAGUGCUCUCUUCUUGGGUCUUCUCCCUCAUCCAAAGUGGCCACCUCUAAGGAGGAGAGGAUAGUUUUGAGGCCACUUACCAUCUGGUCUCUCACUUUG
Numida meleagris (helmeted guineafowl) is the source of this 177-nucleotide unclassified non-coding RNA. NCBI's taxonomy places the organism in Eukaryota, Metazoa, Chordata, Aves, Galliformes, Numididae. The record is from Ensembl.